AGAGAAAUCGAGUCUUAAUAGGGCGUUUAGUUGCUGGGUAUAGACCCGAAACCGGGUGAUCUAUCCAUGAGCAGGUUGAAGGUUGGGUAACACUAACUGGAGGACCGAACCCACUGUCGUUGAAAAGCCAGGGGAUGACUUGUGGAUAGGGGUGAAAGGCUAAUCAAACUCGGUGAUAGCUGGUUCUCCCCGAAAGCUAUUUAGGUAGCGCCUCGGACGAAUACCAUAGGGGGUAGAGCACUGUUUCGGCUAGGGGGUCAUCCCGACUUACCAAACCGAUGCAAACUCCGAAUACCUAUGAGUACUAUCCGGGAGACAGACUGCGGGUGCUAACGUCCGUAGUCAAGAGGAAAACAAUCCAGACCGCCAGCUAAGGCCCCAAAAUUAUAGUUAAGUGGGAAACGAUGUGGGAAGGCAUAGACAGCUAGGAGGUUGGCUUAGAAGCAGCCACCCUUUAAAGAAAGCGUAAUAGCUCACUAGUCGAGUCGGCCUGCGCGGAAGAUGUAACGGGGCUAAAACUAUAUGCCGAAGCUGCGGAUGUAUACAUUGUAUACGUGGUAGGGGAGCGUUCUGUAAGCCGAUGAAGGUGUGUUGAGAAGCAUGCUGGAGGUAUCAGAAGUGCGAAUGCUGACGUGAGUAACGACAAAACGGGUGAAAAACCCGUUCGCUGAAAGACCAAGGGUUCCAGUCCAACGUUAAUCGGGGCUGGGUGAGUCGACCCCUAAGGCGAGGCCGAGAGGCGUAGUCGAUGGGAAAUUGGUUAAUAUUCCAAUACUUCUGUGUAAUGCGAUGAGAGGACGGAGAAAGUUAAGUCAGCCUGGCGUUGGUUGUCCAGGUGAAAGGUUGUAGGCAUGCAUCUUAGGCAAAUCCGGGGUGCUCUAUGCUGAGAACUGAUAGCAAGCGAGUUUACUCGUGAAGUGGCUGAUACUAUGCUUCCAGGAAAAGUCUCUAAGCUUCAGUUACACAGGAAUCGUACCCGAAACCGACACAGGUGGUCAGGUCGAGUAGACCAAAGCGCUUGAGAGAACUCUGCUGAAGGAACUAGGCAAAAUGGUACCGUAACUUCGGGAGAAGGUACGCUGCUGACGGUGAUAGGACUUGCUCCUUGAGCUAUUGGCAGCCACAGAAACCAGGCCCCUGCAACUGUUUAUUAAAAACAUAGCACUCUGCAAACACGAAAGUGGACGUAUAGGGUGUGAUGCCUGCCCGGUGCUGGAAGGUUAAUUGAUGGGGUUAGCGUAAGCGAAGCUCUUGAUCGAAGCCCCAGUAAACGGCGGCCGUAACUAUAACGGUCCUAAGGUAGCGAAAUUCCUUGUCGGGUAAGUUCCGACCUGCACGAAUGGCAUAAUGAUGGGGGCGCUGUCUCCAGCAGAGGCUCAGUGAAAUCGAAAUCGCCGUGAAGAUGCGGUGUACCCGCGGCUAGACGGAAAGACCCCGUGAACCUUUACUGCAGCUUGACAUUGAACUUUGAUCUUACUUGUGUAGGAUAGGUGGGAGGCUUAGAAGUAGCGACGCCAGUUGCUAUGGAGCCAUCCUUGAAAUACCACCCUGGUAAUAUUGAGGUUCUAACUCUGUCCCGUUAUCCGGGACGAGGACCAUGUCUGGUGGGUAGUUUGACUGGGGCGGUCUCCUCCUAAAGAGUAACGGAGGAGUACGAAGGUGCGCUCAGCGUGGUCGGAAAUCACGCGUAGAGUAUAAAGGCAAAAGCGCGCUUAACUGCGAGACCCACAAGUCGAGCAGGUACGAAAGUAGGUCUUAGUGAUCCGGUGGUUCUGUAUGGAAGGGCCAUCGCUCAACGGAUAAAAGGUACUCUGGGGAUAACAGGCUGAUACCGCCCAAGAGUUCAUAUCGACGGCGGUGUUUGGCACCUCGAUGUCGGCUCAUCUCAUCCUGGGGCUGAAGCAGGUCCCAAGGGUAUGGCUGUUCGCCAUUUAAAGAGGUACGCGAGCUGGGUUUAGAACGUCGUGAGACAGUUCGGUCCCUAUCUACCGUGGGCGUUGGAAAUUUGAGAGGAUCUGCUCCUAGUACGAGAGGACCAGAGUGGACGAACCUCUGGUGUACCGGUUGUGACGCCAGUCGCAUCGCCGGGUAGCUAUGUUCGGAAGGGAUAACCGCUGAAAGCAUCUAAGCGGGAAGCCUACCUCAAGAUAAGAUUUCCCUAGGACUUUAUGUCCUCUAAAGAGCCGUUGAAGACUACGACGUUGAUAGGUUGGAUGUGGAAGUGCGGUGACGCAUGAAGCUGACCAAUACUAAUUGCUCGUGAGGCUUGACUAU
Molecule: ribosomal RNA, 2274 nt
Filed under: Acinetobacter bereziniae NIPH 3
Lineage: Bacteria; Pseudomonadati; Pseudomonadota; Gammaproteobacteria; Moraxellales; Moraxellaceae
Description: bacterial LSU rRNA
Rfam family: Bacterial large subunit ribosomal RNA
Source: RNAcentral